GUGUGACCCCAGGAUGGGCGGGGUGACCCGCUGAGUUUAAGCAUAUCAAUAAGCGGAGGAGAAGAAACUUACAAGGAUUCCCUUA
RNAcentral lists this ribosomal RNA (85 nucleotides) under Disa tenuis. Its description in RNAcentral is "partial 25S ribosomal RNA". It matches the Rfam family "Eukaryotic large subunit ribosomal RNA", at positions 1 to 82 of the family's 3401-position model. The record is from RNAcentral. RNAcentral also lists the same sequence under 1 other name. Lineage: Eukaryota; Viridiplantae; Streptophyta; Magnoliopsida; Asparagales; Orchidaceae.